AGUAAGAUUUGGAAUAGUAGCAAAAAAAAUGUUUUUAGAGAGUUCACCCUUGGCUGAGAGGUAAACAACCCCUGUUUUUUGCGAACCUACCAAUGGUAAUGAUUAUGAAAGUAAUCGGGGGAAAGCCCUUAUCCUUUAAGCAAGAGGCCUUUUCAGAUAAAGAAAAAGCAAUCAAGGUGGUACCGCGAAAUUCAAGUAUUUCGUCCUUUUU
This 211-nucleotide non-coding RNA is filed under the name Enterococcus aquimarinus. RNAcentral describes it as "T-box sequence". It matches the Rfam family "T-box leader". Rfam says of the family: Uncharged tRNA acts as the effector for transcription antitermination of genes in the T-box leader family. T-boxes are found upstream of many aminoacyl-tRNA synthetase genes and some amino acid biosynthetic genes usually in Gram-positive bacteria. The anticodon of a specific tRNA base pairs to a specifier sequence within the T-box motif, and the NCCA acceptor tail of the tRNA base pairs to a conserved bulge in the T-box antiterminator hairpin. Lineage: Bacteria; Bacillati; Bacillota; Bacilli; Lactobacillales; Enterococcaceae. The record is from RNAcentral.